Molecule: long non-coding RNA, 530 nt
Filed under: Marmota monax (woodchuck)
Lineage: Eukaryota; Metazoa; Chordata; Mammalia; Rodentia; Sciuridae
Source: RNAcentral
AAAAUGUUCAACAUCUUUAGCAAUUAGGAAAACACAAGUCAAAACUAUACUAAGAUUUUAUCUCACACCAGUCAGAAUAGCAGUCAUCAAGACUACAAAUAAUAAUAAAUGCUAAAGAGGAUGUGAAGAAAAGGGAACACUUUUACACUGUUAGUGAGACUGUAAAUUAGUACAACCACUAUGAAAAUUAGUACGGAGGCUACUCAAGACUACACAUGGAACCAUCACAUAACCCAGUUAUACCACUUUUUGGUAUUAAAUUAAAGGCAUAUUACAACAAUCAUACAUGCAUAUCCAUGUUUAUAGCAGCACAAUUCACAUUAGACAAACUAUGGAACCAGUUUAGCUGUUCAUCAACAGAUGAAUGGGUAAAAAGAAUGUCGUAUAUAAACACAAUAGAGUUUUAUUCAGCCAUAAAGAAAAAUGAAAUUAUGGCAUUUGCAGGAAAGUGGAUGGAAGUUGAGACCAUCAUGUUAAGCAAAAUAAGUCAAAUUCAGGCCUGGCGUGGGGGCACACACCUAUAAUCCCAG